UGCUCCAGACCCAGACAACUCUUGGUUGGAUGGUGCGGAGCCCGGCCGCAGCCCGGGGCGCGGAUGCCUGCCCGCCGCCCGCCCUCUCUGCAGGAGGGGCCGCGCGGCUCCCAGCGAGACCCCAUCCAGGCGCCGCCCCCGGCCAGGCUGGGGAGCGCAGAGAUUUCACACCCUUUGGAGAGUUUCUUUCUUGGAUAAUUCAGGUAGGUUUUUACGUUUUGUUUUUUAAAUCAGUGGACCUA
This 242-nucleotide long non-coding RNA is filed under the name Theropithecus gelada (gelada). RNAcentral describes it as "lncRNA (ENSTGEG00000018099.1)". The record is from RNAcentral. Lineage: Eukaryota; Metazoa; Chordata; Mammalia; Primates; Cercopithecidae.